GUGGGGAAUCUUGCGCAAUGGGGGAAACCCUGACGCAGCGACGCCGCGUGGAGGAUGAAGGUCUUCGGGUUGUAAACUCCUUUUGCAGGGGAAAAUGGUGAUGGUACCCUGCGAAUAAGCCACGGCUAACUCUGUGCCAGCAGCCGCGGUAAGACAGAGGUGGCGAGCGUUGUUCGGAAUUACUGGGCUUAAAGGGCGAGUAGGCGUCCCGACAAGUCAGAUGUGGAAUCUUUCCGCUUAACGGGAAAAUUGCAUUUGAAACUGUCGGGAUUGAGUCAGUGAGGGGAGGGCGGAAUUCCUGGUGUAGCGGUGAAAUGCGUAGAUAUCAGGAGGAAGGCCUGUGGCGAAGGCGGCCCUCUGGUACUGUACUGACGCUGAGGCGCGAAAGCGUGGGUAGCAAACAGGAUUAGAAACCCUUGUAGUCC
RNAcentral lists this ribosomal RNA (425 nucleotides) under uncultured bacterium. Its description in RNAcentral is "bacterial SSU rRNA". It matches the Rfam family "Bacterial small subunit ribosomal RNA", at positions 354 to 796 of the family's 1533-position model. The record is from RNAcentral.